AGUAACGUGUGGGUAACCUGCCUCAUACAGGGGGAUAACAGUUAGAAAUGACUGCUAAUACCGCAUAAGCGCACAGUGCUGCAUGGCACAGUGUGAAAAACUCCGGUGGUAUGAGAUGGACCCGCGUCUGAUUAGCUGGUUGGUGAGGUAACGGCCCACCAAGGCGACGAUCAGUAGCCGGCCUGAGAGGGUGAACGGCCACAUUGGGACUGAGACACGGCCCAAACUCCUACGGGAGGCAGCAUGC
This 247-nucleotide ribosomal RNA is filed under the name uncultured bacterium. RNAcentral's name for it is "partial 16S ribosomal RNA". It matches the Rfam family "Bacterial small subunit ribosomal RNA", at positions 109 to 353 of the family's 1533-position model. The record is from RNAcentral.